This 349-nucleotide small RNA is filed under the name Bacillota bacterium. RNAcentral describes it as "transfer-messenger RNA". It matches the Rfam family "transfer-messenger RNA". From Rfam's summary of the family: Bacterial tmRNA, also known as 10Sa RNA or SsrA, is named for its dual tRNA and mRNA-like properties. Its role is to liberate the mRNA from a stalled ribosome. To accomplish this part of the tmRNA is used as a reading frame that ends in a translation stop signal. The record is from RNAcentral. Lineage: Bacteria; Bacillati; Bacillota.
GGGGGCGAACGGUCUCGACUGGGUGGGAAGAAGCGAGGCUGCGAGCCGAGGUGCCAGGUCCUCGUUAAUCAACUGGCAUGGCGAUAAACGCCAACCAUCAGUACGCUCUCGCCGCUUAAGUAGCGACGACGUCUCCCCGGGACCGCCGGCGGCCCGGGUGAGGCUUCACCAGCCGGCUACCGACACGGGUCCUGGCCCGGGGCGCGUGUCGGGAAUCGCAACGGGCUGGCGGCCGGCGGAUCCGGUCUGCGGGAGCCGGCGGCUGCGAGACACAAAACGCAGGCUACGCUCGUAGACGCCUGGCCCUCAUCCACUCAGGACGCGGGUUCGAUUCCCGCCGCCUCCACCA